RNAcentral lists this ribosomal RNA (253 nucleotides) under uncultured bacterium. Its description in RNAcentral is "partial 16S ribosomal RNA". It matches the Rfam family "Bacterial small subunit ribosomal RNA", at positions 524 to 776 of the family's 1533-position model. The record is from RNAcentral.
GACGAAGGGGGCAAGCGUUGUUCGGAAUUACUGGGCGUAAAGGGCGCGUAGGCGGCCUGCUAAGUCGAACGUGAAAUCCCCGGGCUCAACCCGGGAACUGCGUCCGAUACUGGCAGGCUUGAAUCCGGGAGAGGGAUGUGGAAUUCCAGGUGUAGCGGUGAAAUGCGUAGAUAUCUGGAGGAACACCGGUGGCGAAGGCGGCAUCCUGGACCGGCAUUGACGCUGAGGCGCGAAAGCCAGGGGAGCAAACGGG